RNAcentral lists this long non-coding RNA (1324 nucleotides) under Homo sapiens (human). RNAcentral's name for it is "uncharacterized LOC105372969, transcript variant 4 (LOC105372969)". The record is from RNAcentral. Lineage: Eukaryota; Metazoa; Chordata; Mammalia; Primates; Hominidae.
CGGUGCACCUCAGCGCACAGUCCCAGCGGCCAGGCUUGUCCCGCGCCUCUCGACCAAGUCUCUACGGUAAUGAUGAAGCCCCUGCUCUGGUCCAAGCUACCUGUGAACAGCGCCCAGCGGGCCGGGCCCCCAACCUCGCUCCUGAACGUACCCGCAAGCCCGCCGUGAGAAUUCAGCGAAGAGUAAAGGCUGGAGAAAGUUGCGUGUCUCAGGCUAAGCAGAGCAAAGUGGGGUGAGGGCUUCGCCGCUAGGAACAGAGAUGCCCUUAGGGAGCCCCCUGAUGGAAGAGCUCUCUGCUUAAGAAGGUCAGCACGCCCUUACACUCAGUUUUACCACGUUUUUCAAGAUCCAAGGCACAAUAGGCAUAAAGUUAUCCUGAAAAGGACAAGAGGAGUGUCAGAAGUAGGAAUGGCAGUCGAAGGAGCUUCGUCUGGCAGCAGAAAGCCAAAAUGACAGGCAAGCACAAAAUAUAUUAAUGAGACAAAGCUAUGCAUGAGCGAAAUAUCAAACUUUCAUCUUCUACCCACUUUUUUUUUUUUUUGCUUAAAAAUAGGAAGACAGAAUGUCUUGUCAAGGGUCACCCCAGGAGGAGGAGUAAAUUCUCCAAAAAUCAGAACAUAUUUUUAUGAUUUAAUUAAUGCAAUUUCUCUCAAUGUUUCUGUUUGUCAUUUGAGCAUCCACAUGAUCAGACCUGACAUCUGCCUACAUUUUAUUGGUCAUCUUUGACUUCAGUUAAGAACCCUUUGGGUUUUGCUUUUUGCUUUUUUUUCCCCCCAGCAGCACACUGUAGUAAGUUUGGAACAAGACACACCUGAAAUCAAGUCCCUGCUCUGGGCUGGGUGAUCUUAGAGGCAAUCUCUUAACCUCAUUCUACUUUAUUGUUCUCAUAGGAAAAGUGGAAAUGAGGCCUUUUACCCCAGGGUUGUUGAGAAGACAGGGGAGAAAAAGCACAUAAAAAUGCACCUUGUCGGGCGCAGUGGCUCACACCUGUAAUCCUGCACUUUGGGAGUCUGAGGCAGGUGGAUCGCUUGAGGCCAGGAGUUCAAGACCAGCCUGGCCAACAUGAAAAAUACAUUAAAAAUAAUGUCUCUAUUAAAAAUACAAAAAUUAGCCAGGCAUGGUGGUGCACGCCUGUAACCCAGCUACUCAGGAGGCUGAGGCACAAGAAUCGCUUGAACCCAGGAAGUAGAAGCUACAGUGAGUCGAGAUUGCACCACUGCACGCCAGCCUGGGUGAAAGAGUGAGACCCUGUCUGAAAAAAAAAAAAAAAAAAAAGCAUUUUGCCUGGCACCCAGUAGAUCCUCAAUAAAGGUCAUGUCACUUC